AAAGAUUAAGCCAUGCAUGUCUAAGUACAAGCCUCAGUAAGGUGAAACCGCGAAUGGCUCAUUAAAUCACACCUAAUCUACUGGAAAGUUACAAGUUACUUGGAUAACUGAGGUAAUUCUUGAGCUAAUACAUGCGAAAAAUCUCGACUCACGGAGAGAUGCUUUUAUUAGAUCAAAACCAAACGGCUUCGGCCGUCUCAUUGGUGACUCUGAAUAACUUUGGGCUGAUCGUAUGGCCUUGUGCCGACGACGUUUCCUUCGAAGGUGUGCCCUAUCAACUGUCGACUGU
This 289-nucleotide ribosomal RNA is filed under the name Sinodiaptomus sp. SW-2015. Its description in RNAcentral is "partial 18S ribosomal RNA". It matches the Rfam family "Eukaryotic small subunit ribosomal RNA", at positions 39 to 329 of the family's 1831-position model. The record is from RNAcentral. Lineage: Eukaryota; Metazoa; Arthropoda; Copepoda; Calanoida; Diaptomidae.